This 1100-nucleotide ribosomal RNA is filed under the name Salmonella enterica subsp. enterica serovar Anatum. RNAcentral's name for it is "partial 23S ribosomal RNA". It matches the Rfam family "Bacterial large subunit ribosomal RNA", at positions 593 to 1693 of the family's 2925-position model. Lineage: Bacteria; Pseudomonadati; Pseudomonadota; Gammaproteobacteria; Enterobacterales; Enterobacteriaceae. The record is from RNAcentral.
GUGACUGCGUACCUUUUGUAUAAUGGGUCAGCGACUUAUAUUCUGUAGCAAGGUUAACCGAAUAGGGGAGCCGGAGGGAAACCGAGUCUUAAUUGGGCGUUAAGUUGCAGGGUAUAGACCCGAAACCCGGUGAUCUAGCCAUGGGCAGGUUGAAGGUUGGGUAACACUAACUGGAGGACCGAACCGACUAAUGUUGAAAAAUUAGCGGAUGACCUGUGGCUGGGGGUGAAAGGCCAAUCAAACCGGGAGAUAGCUGGUUCUCCCCGAAAGCUAUUUAGGUAGCGCCUCGUGAAUUCAUCUCCGGGGGUAGAGCACUGUUUCGGCUAGGGGGCCAUCCCGGCUUACCAACCCGAUGCAAACUGCGAAUACCGGAGAAUGUUAUCACGGGAGACACACGGCGGGUGCUAACGUCCGUCGUGAAGAGGGAAACAACCCAGACCGCCAGCUAAGGUCCCAAAGUCAUGGUUAAGUGGGAAACGAUGUGGGAAGGCCCAGACAGCCAGGAUGUUGGCUUAGAAGCAGCCAUCAUUUAAAGAAAGCGUAAUAGCUCACUGGUCGAGUCGGCCUGCGCGGAAGAUGUAACGGGGCUAAACCAUGCACCGAAGCUGCGGCAGCGACACUCAGGUGUUGUUGGGUAGGGGAGCGUUCUGUAAGCCUGUGAAGGUGGCCUGUGAGGGUUGCUGGAGGUAUCAGAAGUGCGAAUGCUGACAUAAGUAACGAUAAAGCGGGUGAAAAGCCCGCUCGCCGGAAGACCAAGGGUUCCUGUCCAACGUUAAUCGGGGCAGGGUGAGUCGACCCCUAAGGCGAGGCCGAAAGGCGUAGUCGAUGGGAAACGGGUUAAUAUUCCCGUACUUGGUGUUACUGCGAAGGGGGGACGGAGAAGGCUAUGUUGGCCGGGCGACGGUUGUCCCGGUUUAAGCGUGUAGGUGUGUGUUCCAGGUAAAUCCGGUUCACUUUAACACUGAGGCGUGAUGACGAGGCACUACGGUGCUGAAGCAACAAAUGCCCUGCUUCCAGGAAAAGCCUCUAAGCAUCAGGUAACAUCAAAUCGUACCCCAAACCGACACAGGUGGUCAGGUAGAGAAUACCAAGGCGCUUGA